RNAcentral lists this non-coding RNA (172 nucleotides) under Clostridiales bacterium. Lineage: Bacteria; Bacillati; Bacillota; Clostridia; Eubacteriales. The record is from RNAcentral.
UAGAAUGAAACUGUUAUAGGUGCCGAUAAAUUGGAGAAUAGGGAAUUAGGUGAAAAUCCUAAGCGAACCCAUCACUGUAAGACGGAGCGAACGCAUAUGCCACUGGGAAACUGGGAAGGCGCGAUCAGCGUUGAUGUUGAGCCAGGAGACCUGCCUGUAAUUGAAUCAAUGG